RNAcentral lists this long non-coding RNA (210 nucleotides) under Olea europaea (common olive). Its description in RNAcentral is "long non-coding RNA (OEUR_LNC010426)". Lineage: Eukaryota; Viridiplantae; Streptophyta; Magnoliopsida; Lamiales; Oleaceae. The record is from RNAcentral.
AGGAAAAUAAAUGGCGUCGCCCGAAAAUAUAUAAUAUUUCAAAUAAAAAGGAAAAAUAAUCAUGAUAGAGUGUCCAAGGAAUGUCAGUAUCCGACCCAUAUUAGAUACGGCCAUGGACUCGCCGCCCACAUUGAAGUAUCCAUGUUAAAAAGUUCACAAGUGAGGCUCCAAAAGCCCAUCACUGACUCACUUCUCAAAUAAUGUCAUAUG